UCAAUUAAACUUAAUCUCAGCCCAUUGUCUUAAUCAAAUUAAGUCAAUUAGCAAUUGAAUUGCUAAUUGAUCCUCCUGCAACACUUGCACUAGGUUAAAUAUCAAUCGUAUUGAUCGUUUAACCCUAGAACGGUUCUUAAUCAUUGAUCAACCAUCCGAUUGAAUCAUGAACUCUAAUGUGUGUGACCUCAUAGGUCCGAACCUAAGUCGGUAGCACAGGAAUAAUUUUUUAUACCAAUCGAAGUGACCAUUUAGCAAUAGUACCCGACGAUCGGAUAGGUCGAAUGUAUAGAACAACAUCCUUAGAACCCAUGCGGAUAUAGUUUUCAUAUAAUUCAUCCCCUUUGAAGGAAAAACUAGCUUGUUUCUUAUACGAUCUUCCAGAUCUAAUGAGAUCUGGGGCAGAAUAUUUUAAAAAAAAAUUAUCCUAUGAUGUUUUAGAUCAAAGAUCUAUUAGAUCUAAUUUCUAUUAUCUGAUACUAAAUCUAAAAUUAAAUCUGAAAACAAGAGGAAUGGAGAAAUACCUCUAGGGUAACUAGAUUACCCUGUAGAUGAUCGUAACAAUAUUCGAGGUUCUAAAAUAGCCACGCAGUCACCUAGCCUCUAUCGGUAUCCACUUAAGUAGGAUCUGG
RNAcentral lists this long non-coding RNA (632 nucleotides) under Elaeis guineensis (African oil palm). RNAcentral describes it as "long non-coding RNA (EGUI_LNC061778)". Lineage: Eukaryota; Viridiplantae; Streptophyta; Magnoliopsida; Arecales; Arecaceae. The record is from RNAcentral.